This 253-nucleotide ribosomal RNA is filed under the name uncultured bacterium. Its description in RNAcentral is "partial 16S ribosomal RNA". It matches the Rfam family "Bacterial small subunit ribosomal RNA", at positions 524 to 776 of the family's 1533-position model. The record is from RNAcentral.
UACAGAGGGUGCAAGCGUUGUGCGGAAUUAUGGGGCGUAAAGGGCGCGUAGGCGGUGCGACAAGUCACCUGUGAAAUCCCCAGGCUUAACCUGGGAAGUGCGCGGAAAACUGGCGAGCUUGAGUGCCGGAGAGGGUCGCGGAAUUCCCGGUGUAGAGGUGAAAUUCGUAGAUAUCGGGAGGAACACCAGUGGCGAAGGCGGCGACCUGGACGGACACUGACGCUGAGACGCGAAAGCGUGGGGAGCAAACAGG